RNAcentral lists this ribosomal RNA (468 nucleotides) under uncultured bacterium. RNAcentral describes it as "partial 16S ribosomal RNA". It matches the Rfam family "Bacterial small subunit ribosomal RNA", at positions 28 to 508 of the family's 1533-position model. The record is from RNAcentral.
GACGAACGCUGGCGGCGUGCUUAACACAUGCAAGUCGAACGGAAAGGCCCUGCUUUUGUGGGGUGCUCGAGUGGCGAACGGGUGAGUAACACGUGAGUAACCUGCCCUUGACUUUGGGAUAACUUCAGGAAACUGGGGCUAAUACCGGAUAGGAGCUCCUGCUGCAUGGUGGGGGUUGGAAAGUUUCGGCGGUUGGGGAUGGACUCGCGGCUUAUCAGCUUGUUGGUGGGGUAGUGGCUUACCAAGGCUUUGACGGGUAGCCGGCCUGAGAGGGUGACCGGCAACAUUGGGAUGGGGAGCGGGCCAGGCCUCCGAGGGGAGGAGGCGGGGGGAAUUGUGGAAAAAGGGGGGGAGGCUGGAGGCAGCAACGCCGGGUGGGGGAGGAGGGCUUGGGGUUGGAAACCGGUUUUCGCCGGUGAGGAAGGGGGGGGGCGGGAAAGGUGAAAAGAAAACCCGCCAAACUAGGGC